Molecule: ribosomal RNA, 463 nt
Filed under: Escherichia coli
Lineage: Bacteria; Pseudomonadati; Pseudomonadota; Gammaproteobacteria; Enterobacterales; Enterobacteriaceae
Description: bacterial SSU rRNA
Rfam family: Bacterial small subunit ribosomal RNA
Source: RNAcentral
CCCUAGCUGGUCUGAGAGGAUGACCAGCCACACUGGAACUGAGACACGGUCCAGACUCCUACGGGAGGCAGCAGUGGGGAAUAUUGCACAAUGGGCGCAAGCCUGAUGCAGCCAUGCCGCGUGUAUGAAGAAGGCCUUCGGGUUGUAAAGUACUUUCAGCGGGGAGGAAGGGAGUAAAGUUAAUACCUUUGCUCAUUGACGUUACCCGCAGAAGAAGCACCGGCUAACUCCGUGCCAGCAGCCGCGGUAAUACGGAGGGUGCAAGCGUUAAUCGGAAUUACUGGGCGUAAAGCGCACGCAGGCGGUUUGUUAAGUCAGAUGUGAAAUCCCCGGGCUCAACCUGGGAACUGCAUCUGAUACUGGCAAGCUUGAGUCUCGUAGAGGGGGGUAGAAUUCCAGGUGUAGCGGUGAAAUGCGUAGAGAUCUGGAGGAAUACCGGUGGCGAAGGCGGCCCCCUGGACGA